This 406-nucleotide ribosomal RNA is filed under the name uncultured bacterium. RNAcentral's name for it is "partial 16S ribosomal RNA". It matches the Rfam family "Bacterial small subunit ribosomal RNA", at positions 30 to 526 of the family's 1533-position model. The record is from RNAcentral.
AUUGAACGCUGGCGGCCGGCUUAACACAUGCAAGUCGAGCGAGAGGAGGACGGGUGAGUAAUGUCUGGGAAACUGCCUGCUGGAGGGGGAUAACUACUGGAAACGGUAGCUAAUACCGCAUAACAUCCGAUUGGCCCAGAUGUGAUUAGCUAGUAGGUGGGGUAAUGGCACACCUAGGCGACGAUCCCUAGCUGGUCUUAGAGGAUGACCAGCCACACUGGAACUGAGACACGGUCCAGACUCCUACGGGAGGCAGCAGUGGGGAAUAUUGCACAAUGGGCGCAAGCCUGAUGCAGCCAUGCCGCGUGUUUGAAGAAGGCCUUCGGGUUGUAAAGCACUUUCAGCGAGGAGGCGUUACUCGCAGAAGAAGCACCGGCUAACUCCGUGCCAGCCGCCGCGGUAAUUC